ACAAACCAGUCACUUCUGAACUCUACCAAGGAUGCCAGAGAACACAGAGCAAACUUCCAGGUCAGCAUCUACACCCAGGCAAGGCUUGGUCUCCCUGGGCAGCUGGCAGUUUUCUCCUUCAUUCUCAGUGUGGGAGUGGAAUCGGGAUCCUCCCAGAAUGUUCCUGGUAUUCCUGCCAAGCAGAGGGUCUGAUGUUGUUUUCACGCAACAGCAAAGAAUUGGGACAAGAGAAGCUGUGAGGUACGGCGAAGGUCCAUUCUGGGAAUGUUAAGUUGUUCUUCUGCCUGCUUGAACGCGGUCUCCCGAGGACUGUCAGAGAAUCCAGCCCACACAGCUCAGAAUGCAAGCACCAUGCAAGCCAUCCAUAAGUCAGACUCGGAGCACCAGUGGUACCUGUGAGGUGGACACGCCAUUAAUACAGAUGUCUGUGCCAGUAGGAGGCACAAAGGCCAACCUAGGGUCUGAGCCUCUGCAUCUAACCCCCCCUCCAGUGAUCCUGCAAUGUGCCUGCCAGUGCCCCCAUGGGACAGAUGAGGAAGUGGAGGCCAGGAGACCAGGGAAUGGCUGGCCCACACCUCUCAGCUACCAGGAAAGGCCAGCCAAGCCAAAGCCCCUGCUGCUCUCCGCAAGGGGCCCUGUGUCAUGAGGCACAAGAGGACCCAGAACUGCAAGCCUCAGAGUCAUUAAGAAAAUCCCCAGCCUGUUCUAAUAUUCAGUAUAAUCAUUUCCAUCCCCACACCAUGCCAAAAGUCUGUGUCCCUGAUAGAUGGAGACAAGUUCCGGGAAAGGGUCCAAAUCCAGGGCUGAGAGACCUUGGAGCAGCAGUGGGAAGGGGACAGGGAGAUUCACUUGGCUUUAAGGGAAGCCCCCAAGAGCUGCAUUUGCAGGCUACAGGAUCACGGGUUUGAAGUGGGAUGGGAGUUUGCCACCUGGAAGUCAUGGAGAGGACACGUUCAAGGGAAGGCUCGGGCUUCUUCUGGCCACACAGGAUCCCCAGAGGACCUCUGCUUACCUGGCACCCUUCUGCUGCCAGAGGGUGCCACACGGAGACCUGUUGCCUGCCAGCGCAAGUCCUGGCAUGAGAAUUAUUUGAGGACCAGAGGCCUUGAGAGCAGCACCCUUUGUCAGAGCGAGCCAUGCCCACCGCCUCCCCUGCUAGCUAAGUGGCCUGACGGCAUCCUCCCCAUGAGCACCAGAGCACAGGGAGACAGAUGGCUUCAGUGGCCAUCACUGAACCGAAUCCUGCCACACCUGGGCGUCGGGAGCAAAGGGUCUGCUGACUUGGGUGACCGUGGGUCUGACUCUGAUCUUUUCUGGUCCUCAGCUCUCCCAUCCUGUUGUGCUCACUCUAUCCGAGGUAAAGCUAUGGGGACCACAGGAACCGGAGGGGCACAGACGAUGGCUCCUGCUGCUAGGAGAAAGCAUGUGUGCUUUGAGGCGGGCUCUCACUGUGUUAAACAGGCUGGCCCCCAACUCCUGAACUAAAGCCAUCUUCCUACCUCCCAACUUCCCAGCACACCCAGAUGGAAAUAGGUGCUUUUAAAUAGUAGUCGCCAGUCAUUGCAGUAUAGGGCUACAGAGGGGGCACUGUCGGUCCAGCAGUAACUGUCCCCACAGUGUGUUGGGGGCACAAGGAUCCCAGUGGCAACUUUGCCCUUCAUUGCCUCAGUAUUACCAAAUAUCCUCUUCUGUCGGCCCUGCUUUCUGGACUCACAGACAAACGGUACUAGUCACCAGAUGGUGGCUGUCACCAGCACAUGGUUCAUGCCAUUGGGAGCACUGCAGAAGGAGUCUUUCUGCUGGGCACCUAACUGGAAAAGUCAACACAGCUGUGUUCCAAGAAUCCAGAGGUCUGAAGGAGACAAAUGUGAACAAUGAAACCCAGCCAAUUGAUGGUGGGGAGCACUGAUGAUGGGGAGCACUUUCGUGGGGAGCAUCGUGGUGAAGAGAACUAAUGUUUGAGCCACACAAGCUGGAACCAGAGUUGAUCCUGCCUCAGGGAGUUAAGUUGGGCGGGGAGAACCCAAGAACUGGCAUUUGGGAUCAGCAGAGGCCACCCCAGGAUUUCUGACCCAGACCUUCAGUCCCCAUUUUUCUGUUGCCAGACCCCCACCCCCACCCCGUCCCUAUGUCCAUCUCAAAUUCUCCCACAUUCAGUACCAGAGCUUCCAACUCUGCUCCUUGUAUGGGUCUUCCAGAUAUCCCCAGGGUGUUCGCUGGCACAGACUCUGCCCCAGUGUUCCGGGAAGGUGGGGCCAACCUCUUGGUUCUUUGCCCAUGGAAAUAAAGAGAAAUGUGCUGGU
Molecule: long non-coding RNA, 2303 nt
Organism: Mesocricetus auratus (golden hamster)
Lineage: Eukaryota; Metazoa; Chordata; Mammalia; Rodentia; Cricetidae
Exons: 2
Source: RefSeq, a predicted model, not a curated record